Herpailurus yagouaroundi (jaguarundi) is the source of this 506-nucleotide long non-coding RNA. RefSeq lists it as uncharacterized. NCBI's taxonomy places the organism in Eukaryota, Metazoa, Chordata, Mammalia, Carnivora, Felidae. The transcript is spliced from 3 exons. The record is from RefSeq and is a predicted model, not a curated record.
AGCCGGAAGCCAGAAGACCUGCCAGCCCUCGAGCAGGCGGGCGGAGCGUAGCCCAGCGUUGCAACACUCCCCUCUUCAGAGUCGCAGCCACCCAAGUAGUAUUUGAUUUGAAUUCCUGCUAUGCCAUUUUCCAGAAGUCAUGAAAUACUGUGUAAUAACCAACAUUUCAACGGGAUGAUAGUCUGAGCUGUUGAAAUUUACGAACUUGGUUUUUGGAGAUGGGAAAUCUCUGAAGGAUUUUGAACUCUAAAUAGGGUUUGCCGAGUGGAAUUCUAAGGAGGAGUUUAUCUUCAUGUCCUUGAACAGGAGGCCCAACUUAGUGAGGAGAUAUCCUUGGCCUUGCCUGGCAAGUUCUGCAGCCUCCAUCUCACCUGGACCACAUCUAGGACCCGGACUAGGGCACUGUUGCUGAAGCCUCUGCAUAGAACUUUCUAAAGAAAGCUGGGGAGGAAAUAGUCUGAAGUGCAAAAGAAGAAAAAACACAAAAUGAACCAGCACUUCCAAGG